RNAcentral lists this ribosomal RNA (759 nucleotides) under uncultured Enterobacteriaceae bacterium. Its description in RNAcentral is "bacterial SSU rRNA". It matches the Rfam family "Bacterial small subunit ribosomal RNA", at positions 28 to 776 of the family's 1533-position model. Lineage: Bacteria; Pseudomonadati; Pseudomonadota; Gammaproteobacteria; Enterobacterales; Enterobacteriaceae. The record is from RNAcentral.
AUUGAACGCUGGCGGCAGGCCUAACACAUGCAAGUCGAACGGUAACAGGAAGCAGCUUGCUGCUUUGCUGACGAGUGGCGGACGGGUGAGUAAUGUCUGGGAAACUGCCUGAUGGAGGGGGAUAACUACUGGAAACGGUAGCUAAUACCGCAUAACGUCGCAAGACCAAAGAGGGGGACCUUCGGGCCUCUUGCCAUCAGAUGUGCCCAGAUGGGAUUAGCUUGUUGGUGGGGUAACGGCUCACCAAGGCGACGAUCCCUAGCUGGUCUGAGAGGAUGACCAGCCACACUGGAACUGAGACACGGUCCAGACUCCUACGGGAGGCAGCAGUGGGGAAUAUUGCACAAUGGGCGCAAGCCUGAUGCAGCCAUGCCGCGUGUAUGAAGAAGGCCUUCGGGUUGUAAAGUACUUUCAGCGGGGAGGAAGGUGUUGUGGUUAAUAACCACAACAAUUGACGUUACCCGCAGAAGAAGCACCGGCUAACUCCGUGCCAGCAGCCGCGGUAAUACGGAGGGUGCAAGCGUUAAUCGGAAUUACUGGGCGUAAAGCGCACGCAGGCGGUCUGUUAAGUCAGAUGUGAAAUCCCCGGGCUCAACCUGGGAACUGCAUCUGAUACUGGCAGGCUUGAGUCUCGUAGAGGGGGGUAGAAUUCCAGGUGUAGCGGUGAAAUGCGUAGAGAUCUGGAGGAAUACCGGUGGCGAAGGCGGCCCCCUGGACGAAGACUGACGCUCAGGUGCGAAAGCGUGGGGAGCAAACAGG